CAAUAGCGUAUAUUUAAGUUGUUGCAGUUAAAAAGCUCGUAGUUGGAUUUCGGUUGAGAGCGACCGGUCCGCCGUUUGGUGUGCACUGGUUGGUUUUAACUUCCUGUAGAGGACGUGCUCUGGGUUUAACGACCUGGACUCGGAGUCUACGUGGUUACUUUGAAAAAAUUAGAGUGUUCAAAGCGGGCUUACGCUUGAAUAUUUCAGCAUGGAAUAACACUAUAGGACUCCUGUCCUAUUUCGUUGGUCUCGGGACGGGAGUAAUGAUUAAGAGGAACAGUUGGGGGCAUUCGUAUUUCAUUGUCAGAGGUGAAAUUCUUGGAUUUAUGAAAGACGAACUUCUGCGAAAGCAUUUGCCAAGGAUGUUUNCAUUAA
This 375-nucleotide ribosomal RNA is filed under the name uncultured eukaryote. Its description in RNAcentral is "partial 18S ribosomal RNA". It matches the Rfam family "Eukaryotic small subunit ribosomal RNA", at positions 592 to 976 of the family's 1831-position model. The record is from RNAcentral.